RNAcentral lists this ribosomal RNA (497 nucleotides) under uncultured bacterium. RNAcentral's name for it is "partial 16S ribosomal RNA". It matches the Rfam family "Bacterial small subunit ribosomal RNA", at positions 28 to 507 of the family's 1533-position model. The record is from RNAcentral.
GAUGAACGCUGGCGGCGUGCCUAAUACAUGCAAGUCGAGCGAACAGACGAGGAGCUUGCUCCUCUGACGUUAGCGGCGGACGGGUGAGUAACACGUGGAGAACCUACCUAUAAGACUGGGAUAACUUCGGGAAACCGGAGCUAAUACCGGAGAAUAUAUUGAACCGCAAGGUUCAAUAGUGAAAGACGGUGUUGCUGUCACUUAUAGAUAGAUCCGCGCCGCAUUAGCUAGUUGGUAAGGUAACGGCUUACCAAGCCAACGAUGGGUAGCCGACCUGAGAGGGUGCUCGGCCACACUGGAACUGAGAACCGGCCCAGACUCCUGCGGGAGGCAGCAGUCGGGAAUCUUCCGCAAUGGGCGAAAGCCUGACGGAGCACCGCCGCGUGAGUGAUGAAGGUCUUCGGACCGUAAAACUCUGUUAGUAGGGAAGAACAAAUGUGUAAGUCACUAUGCACGUCUUGACGGUACCUAAUCAGAAAGCCACGGCUAACUCCGUG